This is a long non-coding RNA of Acinonyx jubatus (cheetah), 459 nucleotides long. RefSeq lists it as uncharacterized. NCBI's taxonomy places the organism in Eukaryota, Metazoa, Chordata, Mammalia, Carnivora, Felidae. The record is from RefSeq and is a predicted model, not a curated record. The transcript is spliced from 2 exons.
UUUUCUGCCAGGGGCUGGUGGAUUCGACAGCGAGCAAGCCAGAGUGUGCUCUCCAAGGCCGGUGAUGUGCUGAUGUGCCACUGACGGGGGUUCACGAUCAUCCAAAGGAAGCCCUUUCCUGUCCCUGACCGCGUUAGCCCAGCUCCUGACUCCGCGUGCAACAGACAUGAUGAUCACACAUCGGCUGCAAAGAGUUUUGGAGGUCAGAAGACUGCAAUCAAUGUCACCGGGAUGAAGUCAGAUGUCAACAGGGCCCGGUCUUUCUGGAGGCUCCAAGGGAGAAAGAACAUGGUCCUCACUGUUUUCAGCUUCUGGAGGCUGCCCACACGCGUCCUCUUCCGACCCUUUCUUCACGUCACUCGACCUCUUGCUCCCAUCAUUUUCUCUCUCACAUCCCUCUGAUUUCCUUCCCUCCUCUCACGAGGAACCCUAUGAUCGGUGCCUUCGAGGAUUGCGGGG